This 490-nucleotide ribosomal RNA is filed under the name uncultured bacterium. RNAcentral describes it as "partial 16S ribosomal RNA". It matches the Rfam family "Bacterial small subunit ribosomal RNA", at positions 30 to 507 of the family's 1533-position model. The record is from RNAcentral.
AUUGAACGCUGGCGGCAGGCCUAACACAUGCAAGUCGAGCGGUAACAGGAAGCAGCUUGCUGCUUCGCUGACGAGUGGCGGACGGGUGAGUAAUGUCUGGGAAGCUACCUGAUGGAGGGGGAUAACUACUGGAAACGGUAGCUAAUACCGCAUAAUGUCGCAAGACCAAAGAGGGGGACCUUCGGGCCUCUUGCCAUCGGAUGUGCCCAGAUGGGAUUAGCUUGUUGGUGGGGUAACGGCUCACCAAGGCGACGAUCCCUAGCUGGUCUGAGAGGAUGACCAGCCACACUGGAACUGAGACACGGUCCAGACUCCUACGGGAGGCAGCAGUGGGGAAUAUUGCACAAUGGGCGCAAGCCUGAUGCAGCCAUGCCGCGUGUAUGAAGAAGGCCUUCGGGUUGUAAAGUACUUUCAGCGGGGAGGAAGGGAGUAAAGUUAAUACCUUUGCUCAUUGACGUUACCCGCAGAAGAAGCACCGGCUAACUCCGUG